AAGGCAAGCGCCUUAUAAUAUUUACAUUUGACUGUGACAGUGGCGCCCUCUGCUGCCUCAAUAAUGUAGGCUAGCAUAAUAAAGAGCAGGUUAGACUUUUAGUUAUUGGAAUAUGUUCUCAGGGCAGCAUUGCAUCUUAUUGGUUCUCUCAGUCAUCCAAUCAGCGACAGCAGGAGGCGGGACAUGGAUUAUUUGAAUUUUUUUUUUCUCAGGACGCGGGAGACAUCACGCUAAGGAGAUCGUUGCAGUUAAGUUUGGAAAACUUGACCAACCCAAAUGAACAUCUUAGAAACACUGAAGUCCCAAGGACGUCAUCGUGAAGAUGUCCUUGGGACAGUUGGGCCAUUUAAAGUCUUUCUGGGCAGUUUGGAGGCCCUUGUAGGCCCAUCUGAACUUCCAGAUGAGGUAAUGGAUGCCCUAUUUUACAUAAUCAGCAGGAGCCAGCCUGGGACAGAGCCCAUAAAUAGCCAGGCUAUGCGCCUGAUUUUGGAAGGCAGCUCCAGGGCCAGGAGCACUUAUUUUCUAAAAAAAAACAUUCUUAAAGGAGCCAGUGCCAUCUUCGGGCCCUACUUGGUGGGAGAGUGCCACUGGACCCUCUUUCAUUGCAACUUGAAAGAGGGAACCAUUACAUACAUUGACUCAUUGGGGGAGCAUCCACAGCGUUGCUCCCAAAUCAUCGAAAAUUGGAGCUUAUUUGCUGCUAGCAGAGGCUGCCAAGGGCCCUGGAAGUUCAUAAACAGGGACCAUGACUUGCAAAAUGACUCUGUGUCAUGUGGAGUGUUCUCAAUAAUGUUUGCAGAAAUGAUCCUCCAGGGACAACAAGGUCACCUCCAAUGCCUCCCCAUCUCCCAAGAGCGGGAGAGACUUGGGAUUUUGUUGUUUAAAUCCCUUGAUAGUUCAGGCAUUUGUACAGUCUGCUACAAGAAGAUGUCAGGGAAGAAAAAGGAGACAUGCUCAUUCUGCUCUACAGAAAAGAGUCCAAAACCAGAGGCAGAAACAGCUGAGAUGGAGACUGCAGAGGCAGUUGAAGUAGCAAAAACGAAGGUGGAGUUUGUUGCAGAUACAUCAGAUGCAUUUGAAGAGGAGGAGACAGCAUCUGAGAAAAUGGAGGCAGAAACAGUUGAGAUGGAGACUGCAGAGGCAGUUGAAGUAGCAAAAACGAAGGUGGAGUUUGUUGCAGAUACAUCAGAUGCAUUUGAAGAGGAGGAGACAGCAUCGGAGAAAAUGGAGGCAGAAACAGCUGAGAUGGAGACUGCAGAGGCAGUUGAAGUAGCAAAAACAAAGGUGGAGGUUGUUGCAGAUACAUCAGGUGCAGAGGAAGAGGAGAAAGAGGAGGCAUCGGAAAAAAAGGAUGGAUUCUAUGUGGAUAGCCUGUUGAAGGUGGCGUCUUCAAAGAAAGCUAAAAGAGGAGUGCCAAGGUCUUGCUAA
RNAcentral lists this long non-coding RNA (1428 nucleotides) under Carassius auratus (goldfish). Its description in RNAcentral is "lncRNA (ENSCARG00000043009.1)". Lineage: Eukaryota; Metazoa; Chordata; Actinopteri; Cypriniformes; Cyprinidae. The record is from RNAcentral.